This 584-nucleotide ribosomal RNA is filed under the name Coniochaeta fasciculata. RNAcentral describes it as "LSU rRNA". It matches the Rfam family "Eukaryotic large subunit ribosomal RNA", at positions 45 to 656 of the family's 3401-position model. The record is from RNAcentral. Lineage: Eukaryota; Fungi; Ascomycota; Sordariomycetes; Coniochaetales; Coniochaetaceae.
AAUAAGCGGAGGAAAAGAAACCAACAGGGAUUGCCCCAGUAACGGCGAGUGAAGCGGCAACAGCUCAAAUUUGAAAUCUGGCUUCGGCCCGAGUUGUAAUUUGUAGAGGAUGCUUUUGGUGAGGUGCCUUCUGAGUUCCCUGGAACGGGACGCCAGAGAGGGUGAGAGCCCCGUAUAGUCGGCCACCGAUCCUCUGUAAAGCUCCUUCGACGAGUCGAGUAGUUUGGGAAUGCUGCUCAAAAUGGGAGGUAUAUCUCUUCUAAAGCUAAAUAUUGGCCAGAGACCGAUAGCGCACAAGUAGAGUGAUCGAAAGAUGAAAAGCACUUUGAAAAGAGGGUUAAAUAGCACGUGAAAUUGUUGAAAGGGAAGCGCUUGUGACCAGACUUGUGCCGGGCUGAUCAUCCAGUGUUCUCACUGGUGCACUCGACCCGGCUCAGGCCAGCGUCGGUUCUCGCGGGGGGAUAAAAGCUUCGGGAACGUGGCACCUCCGGGUGUGUUAUAGCCCGUUGCUUAAUACCUUCGCGGGGACCGAGGUUCGCGCUCUGCAAGGACGCUGGCAUAAUGGUCAUCAKCGACCCGUCUUG